This 708-nucleotide ribosomal RNA is filed under the name Triticum aestivum (bread wheat). RNAcentral describes it as "partial small subunit ribosomal RNA". Lineage: Eukaryota; Viridiplantae; Streptophyta; Magnoliopsida; Poales; Poaceae. The record is from RNAcentral.
AUGGAGGAACUAUUGUCAGCAUUACAGAUACCAGAUCUUGGAGAUCCGGUGCCUUCCAUUGCAGAAUCAGAGUCUGGUGAUGAACCAGAUGAAGUUGUCAUGAAAUUAUCCAUCCAUGCUGUCACUGGCACCUCUUGCAAAGAAAGUGUUAAAUUACAAGGUAUGAUUGGGAAAACACAUCUGCUCAUUCUAGUGGACUCAGGUAGUUCCAAUAGUUUUGUUAGUGAGAAAUUGGUGCAACAACUCCAGUGUCUAGUGGAAAACUUGCCAGCAGCUACUAUUAAGGUGGCUGGUGGGGGCACUCUCACUUGUACACAACAAGUUAGAGAUUUGCAAUGGUGGUGCCAGGGCACCUGUUUCAGUACCUCUCUCAAAGUCUUACCUCUGGAAAGCUAUGAUAUUAUCUUAGGUAUGAACUGGCUGGAAAUCAUGAGCCCUAUGUGGGUAGAUUGGAAACUGAAGAUCAUGAAGUUUGAGCAUCAGGGCACUGAAAUCAAAUUGCAAGGCAUAUCUGACAGAAUUCAGAGUUGCACACCCUUAUCUGGUAAACAAUUGCAUGGGCUCAUUCAAUCUGAUGCUGUAGAACAUGUGAUAUAUCUGAAUUAUGUCACUACAGUACGUAGGCCACAGACAGAAUGUCCCUUAUCGGUGCAGAAGCUUAUUGAAGCUCAUAAACAAUUGUUUCAAGAACCUGGAGGGGUAACAUAG